UGUUGGGACAUUUACACAGAAACUUGAACCUCUGCAGCUCUCUUUCUCUCUCAGGAUGUGGAAAGUGCAGUCUACUUUUGGAGGAUCAAUUUUUGGUCUGGGCUUCCCAAAAAGGGUUGAUGCUGCCCAAGGAGUCCUUUACCAUACAAUAUGCAUACCUGAGAUGCAGAUCCCAUUUACUGUCUGACACAAAGGAAACAAAUUCCAUGACAACUUCAAUGAACUGAGAAAGUUUCACCUGGUUCCACUGCAAAAGGAUACGUUUGUCCAUUCUCCCAAAACCAGACUCAGAAAGAACUGUGAAUUUUUGGAUGGACUUGAGCCUGCAUUUAAGUUUGUAACAAAACAUGAAACCAGCCAAAAUUUGCCUGUCUGAUUGUAAUGUAUGUACGGAUUUAGUGAUGUCCUGCUGAUGUAUUUAUUGCUGAAUAUCAGUCUACAUGUAAACCAUGUUACCCUUUCAAUAUAUCAUCUGCUUCUAUUAAUGUUGCUGUGAAGUAUGAAGUUAGUGUAUUCUUCUUAGAAAUGGCAUAGAGAAGUCAAUGUAACACAACCAAUUUCUCUGCAACAAGUGUUGUACUCUUGGGUACCAUUGUUCAUUACAAGCCUGAUUCAAUAAAGUUGUCUGGAAUUCCACAUAGCCUCAUGAAUCUAGGAAGCCAUGGAAACCUUUUCCGCCCCCAAUUUUCCUGUAGCUCCUAGCAUACACAAGUCACACAUUUAAGAGACACAUUUCUUCAAGCUGUCUUUGAGAGCAUUGUUUUUUAUCUGAUAGCAGUGCCCUUCUGUUUCAUAACUCUUUAGUAAAUGAAGCUUAAUACACUAUAGCAGUAUGUUCAUUAAAAAGUCAAUGAAAGACAAUUCCAAGUCCUUCAAAAGAAAUCUCUGAAAUAUUCUCUU
Long non-coding RNA from Alligator sinensis (Chinese alligator), 900 nucleotides. RefSeq lists it as uncharacterized. The record is from RefSeq and is a predicted model, not a curated record. Lineage: Eukaryota; Metazoa; Chordata; Crocodylia; Alligatoridae. The transcript has 3 exons.